This 253-nucleotide ribosomal RNA is filed under the name uncultured bacterium. RNAcentral's name for it is "partial 16S ribosomal RNA". It matches the Rfam family "Bacterial small subunit ribosomal RNA", at positions 524 to 776 of the family's 1533-position model. The record is from RNAcentral.
UACGUAGGUGGCAAGCGUUGUCCGGAUUUAUUGGGGUUAAAGGGUGCGUAGGUGGGUAGGUAAGUCAGUGGUGAAAUCUUCAAGCUUAACUUGGAAACUGCCAUUGAUACUAUUUAUCUUGAAUACUUUGGAGGUAAGCGGAAUAUGUCAUGUAGCGGUGAAAUGCUUAGAUAUGACAUAGAACACCAAUUGCGAAGGCAGCUUACUACACAGUUAUUGACACUGAGGCACGAAAGCGUGGGGAUCAAACAGG